RNAcentral lists this transfer RNA (68 nucleotides) under Akodon montensis. RNAcentral's name for it is "tRNA-His". It matches the Rfam family "tRNA". Rfam says of the family: Transfer RNA (tRNA) molecules are approximately 80 nucleotides in length. Their secondary structure includes four short double-helical elements and three loops (D, anti-codon, and T loops). The record is from RNAcentral. Lineage: Eukaryota; Metazoa; Chordata; Mammalia; Rodentia; Cricetidae.
GUAAAUAUAGUUUAUAUAAAACUUUAGAUUGUGAAUCUGACAAUAAGAGCUAAAACUCUUUAUUUACC